AGAAUCUGCCUUGGGGUCGGGGACAACCACUGGAAACGGUGGCUAAUACCGGAUAAGCCUUUGGGUAAAAGAUUUAUUGCCCCAAGAGGAGCUCGCGUCUGAUUAGCUAGUUGGUGAGGUAAAAGCUCACCAAGGCAGCGAUCAGUAGCUGGUCUGAGAGGACGAUCAGCCACACUGGGACUGAGACACGGCCCAGACUCCUACGGGAGGCAGCAGUGGGGAAUUUUCCGCAAUGGGCGAAAGCCUGACGGAGCAAGACCGCGUGAGGGAGGAAGGCUCUUGGGUUGUAAACCUCUUUUCUCAGGGAAGAAGCUCUGACGGUACCUGAGGAAUCAGCCUCGGCUAACUCCGUGCCAGCAGCCGCGGUAAUACGGAGGAGGCAAGCGUUAUCCGGAAUUAUUGGGCGUAAAGCGUCCGCAGGUGGCGAUUCAAGUCUGCUGUCAAAGCACGGGGCUUAACUCCGUUAAGGCAGUGGAAACUGAAUAGCUAGAGUGCCGUAGGGGUAGAGGGAAUUCCCGGUGUAGCGGUGAAAUGCGUAGAGAUCGGGAAGAACAUCGGUGGCGAAAGCGCUCUACUGGACGGCAACUGACACUCAGGGACGAAAGCUAGGGGAGCGAAUGGGAUUAGAUACCCCAGUAGUCCUAGCUGUAAACGAUGGAUACUAGGUGUAGCUUGUAUCGACCCGAGCUGUGCCGAAGCUAACGCGUUAAGUAUCCCGCCUGGGGAGUACGCACGCAAGUGUGAAACUCAAAGGAAUUGACGGGGGUCCGCACAAGCGGUGGAGUAUGUAGUUUAAUUCGAUGCAACGCGAAGAACCUUACCAGGGCUUGACAUGUCGAGAAUCUCGGUGAAAGAUGGGAGUGCCUUCGGGAGCCGGAACACAGGUGGUGCAUGGCUGUCGUCAGCUCUUGUCGUGAGAUGUUGGAGUUAAGUCCCGCAACGAGCGCAACCCUAGUACUUUAGUUGCCAGCAUUAAGUUGGGCACUAUAGAGAGACUACCGGUGACAAA
This 1009-nucleotide ribosomal RNA is filed under the name uncultured organism. RNAcentral's name for it is "bacterial SSU rRNA". It matches the Rfam family "Bacterial small subunit ribosomal RNA", at positions 120 to 1162 of the family's 1533-position model. The record is from RNAcentral.